Molecule: ribosomal RNA, 406 nt
Filed under: uncultured bacterium
Lineage: Bacteria
Description: partial 16S ribosomal RNA
Rfam family: Bacterial small subunit ribosomal RNA
Source: RNAcentral
AUUGAACGCUGGCGGCAGGCCUAACACAUGCAAGUCGAACGAGCGGCGGUCGGGUGUGUAAUGUAUGGGGUUCUGCCCGAUAGAGGGGGAUAACUACUGGAACCGGUAGCUAUUACCGCAUACCAUCGGAUGUGCCCAAAUGGGCUGAGCUAGUAGGUGAGGUAAAGGCUCACCUAGGCGACGAUCCCUAGCUGGGCUGAGAGGAUGACCCGCCACACUGGAACUGAGACACGGUCCAGACUCCUACGGGAGGCAGCAUGGGGGAAUAUUGCACAAUGGGCGCAAGCCUGAUGCAGCGAGGCCGCGUGUAUGAAGAAGGCCUUCGGGUUGUAAAGUACUUUCAGCGGGGAGGCGUUACCCGAAGAAGAAGCACCGGCUAACUCCGUGCCAGCAGCCGCGGUAAUUC